RNAcentral lists this ribosomal RNA (497 nucleotides) under uncultured bacterium. Its description in RNAcentral is "partial 16S ribosomal RNA". It matches the Rfam family "Bacterial small subunit ribosomal RNA", at positions 28 to 507 of the family's 1533-position model. The record is from RNAcentral.
GAUGAACGCUGGCGGCGUGCCUAAUACAUGCAAGUCGAGCGAACGGACGAGAAGCUUGCUUCUCUGAUGUUAGCGGCGGACGGGUGAGUAACACGUGGAUAACCUACCUAUAAGACUGGGAUAACUUCGGGAAACCGGAGCUAAUACCGGAUGAUAUUUUGAACCGCAUGGUUAAAAAGUGAAAGACGGUCUUGCUGUCACUUAUAGAUGGAUCCGCGCUGCAUUAGCUGGUUGGUAAGGUAACGGCUUACCAAGGCAACGAUGCAUAGCCGACCUGAGAGGGUGAUCGGCCACACUGGAACUGAGACACGGUCCAGACUCCUACGGGAGGCAGCAGUAGGGAAUCUUCCGCAAUGGGCGAAAGCCUGACGGAGCAACGCCGCGUGAGUGAUGAAGGUCUUCGGAUCGUAAAACUCUGUUAUUAGGGAAGAACAUAUGUGUAAGUAACUGUGCACAUCUUGACGGUACCUAAUCAGAAAGCCACGGCUAACUACGUG